GAUGAACGCUGGCGGCGUGCCUAACACAUGCAAGUCGAGCGAAGCGCCUUACUUGAUUUCUUCGGGAUGAAAGUAUUGUGACUGAGCGGCGGACGGGUGAGUAACGCGUGGAUAACCUGCCUCAUACAGGGGGAUAACAGUUAGAAAUGACUGCUAAUACCGCAUAAGACCACAGCACCGCAUGGUGCAGGGGUAAAAACUCCGGUGGUAUGAGAUGGAUCCGCGUCUGAUUAGCUAGUUGGUAAGGUAACGGCUUACCAAGGCGACGAUCAGUAGCCGGCCUGAGAGGGUGAACGGCCACAUUGGGACUGAGACACGGCCCAA
This 324-nucleotide ribosomal RNA is filed under the name uncultured bacterium. RNAcentral's name for it is "bacterial SSU rRNA". It matches the Rfam family "Bacterial small subunit ribosomal RNA", at positions 28 to 334 of the family's 1533-position model. The record is from RNAcentral.